UACAUCUACGGCUCCAGAAAAAGUGAUUGUCUCUGUAAACGUAGCUAUUAUUUUAAACUUUACUUCGAAAACGAUAAGAGUUUAAAAUUAACGUCAUUGUGAAUAAGUGAUGGUAUCUGGAAAGUACAAUAUUUAUAAAUCAGUCUCGUUGGCAUCCCUGCCGACAACAUAAAAAACAACAAACGUUUUCCGCGCGCGUUCCCCUAAGAAGUCCUGUGUGCCGUUCCAGCAGCAAAUCUCCACCGUUUGGCUGUCGACUGAAGGGAAUCGGUAGCCGUCGUGAUUAUCGCAGGACAGACAAGAAAAAAGCCAGCGAUGUUUGUAACAGAAACAUAUCCGCUGGAGGAGCUGGAGGAGCAAUUUCACUCUGGAAGGAGCAAUCCUGACUUCGGGAUCCAGCAGCUGAUCCAACGUGUGUCGGAAAUUAGACCUCGUCCUGGUGAAGGAGCGAUAAGAAGAUAUCAGUCCGAGUCGAGAGGGUAUAAAGACGGCAAAGACAUGGUUCUAAAUUGCGCACCCGCCGCUGCAGGAGGAUCUUUUUCCAUUCCACCACUGUUUCAACCCCGGUGUUGGUUGAAAGUUGAUGGGUAAUUAUAUUUUUCAAAUAUCAGGUCGAUAGUAUGGUGUACAUAAUUAAAGUUGAUAAAAUAAAGAUUUAUAAAAUC
Long non-coding RNA from Uranotaenia lowii, 665 nucleotides. RefSeq lists it as uncharacterized. The record is from RefSeq and is a predicted model, not a curated record. The transcript is spliced from 3 exons. Lineage: Eukaryota; Metazoa; Arthropoda; Insecta; Diptera; Culicidae.